GUGUUCACUUCAGCAGCACGUAUACUAAAAUUGGAACCAUACAUAGAAUAUUAGCAUGGCCCCUAUGCAAGGAUAACACACAAAUUCAUGAAGCAUUCCAUAUUUCU
RNAcentral lists this small nuclear RNA (107 nucleotides) under Mus pahari (shrew mouse). The record is from RNAcentral. Lineage: Eukaryota; Metazoa; Chordata; Mammalia; Rodentia; Muridae.